This 833-nucleotide long non-coding RNA is filed under the name Ursus thibetanus thibetanus. RNAcentral describes it as "lncRNA (ENSUTTG00000013069.1)". The record is from RNAcentral. Lineage: Eukaryota; Metazoa; Chordata; Mammalia; Carnivora; Ursidae.
CAGCCGCCAGGUAAAGGGGAGGGCUGCGGAGCGUGAAGUCCACUCGUCCUCGAAAGUUCCUUCCCUCUGCGGGAACCCAAACCUUUUCCCCUGCCGGGUGGGAGGAACGGGACGUCCUGCCACCUCCCCGCCGCCACCGCCCCUGAAGCGCGGAGCGCCCGGCACCGCCCCCAUCGGUCUUGGGACUACAUUUCCCAGCGGUCCUCGCGCGCCCCCCCAGCUUGGGCUCCUUAGCGGACACGGCACCGCGGGCGCGGCGAGGCGCGGGGGCUUCCGGGACUGGUAGUUUGGCGGGCGGCGCUCGCGCGCACUUGGGACGGGGUUUGAAUUCCGCUCAGCCUCAUUCAGCUCCGGGAGACCGCGGGCUGUGCGCGGAGUGGAGAGGCCUGUGCUGGACGGGGUAUUACAUCUCAGCACCGCAGAGGGCAGGGGGACCAUGGAGGCGAAGACCCAGCCACCUGACAAAGGAGUCCUGCCUUCUCAGAGCCCUACUUCUACUUCAGAGAAGCUCUCCAAAAAGAAGGGAAGAAUACCGGUCAGAUUCCUGCCGGCCUGGAGCACGGUAAGCCUUCUCCCUUUGACCAGAGGGCGCCUCAGCUCUGAGAGGUCGGGCACAUCUGCCACCCUCUCCGCCCUGCAGAGACCCUCGGGUGGCAGGUCACCCCUUGCACCCCACAAAAGGAUAUGGCCCCAUCCUGUGAGGGAUGAUUUUCCUGAGGAUGCUGCCUCUUUCCUGCCUUCUUCUCUUUCCUAAUUUCUACUUCUGCUGGAAUGUCGCCUCCUCCAGGAAGCCUCCGUGCUCACUUUCUCCUCGUCACUUCCUAACUCCUUGC